Molecule: ribosomal RNA, 465 nt
Filed under: uncultured bacterium
Lineage: Bacteria
Description: partial 16S ribosomal RNA
Rfam family: Bacterial small subunit ribosomal RNA
Source: RNAcentral
GACGAACGCUGGCGGCGUGCUUAACACAUGCAAGUCGAACGGAAAGGCCCCUUUGGGGGUACUCGAGUGGCGAACGGGUGAGUAACACGUGAGUAACCUGCCCUUGACUUCGGGAUAACUUCAGGAAACUGGGGCUAAUACCGGAUAGGAAUCCUUGCUGCAUGGUGGGGGUUGGAAAGCUUCGGCGGUUUUGGAUGGACUCGCGGCUUAUCAGCUUGUUGGUGGGGUAGUGGCUUACCAAGGCUUUGACGGGUAGCCGGCCUGAGAGGGCGACCGGCCACAUUGGGACUGAGAUACGGCCCAGACUCCUACGGGAGGCAGCAGGGGGGAAUAUUGCACAAUGGGCGGAAGCCUGAUGCAGCAACGCCGCGUGCGGGAGGACGGCCUUCGGGUUGUAAACCGCUUUCAGCAGGGGCGAAGCUUGUGGUGACGGUACCUGCAGAAGAAGCACCGGCUAACUACGUG